GAGGGGGCGUAGCGCUGUCCGGAACUCAUUGGGUUGGUAAAGGGACGUCGUAGGCGGGCCGGAUCAGUCGGGACGUUAAAUACCCACCGGCUUAACCGUGGAGCUGGUCUCGAUACUGUCGGUCUUGAGUACGGUAGAGGAAAGCGGAAUUCCUGGUGUAGCGGUGAAAUGCGUAGAUAUCAGGAAGAACACCGAAGGCGAAGGCAGCUUUCUGGGCCGAAACUGACGCUGAGGAGCGAAAGCGUGGGUAGCGAACAGGGAUUAGAUACCCUGGUAGUCCACGCCGUAAACGAUGAGUACUUGAUGGUGGGGGAAUCGACCCCCCUUCACUGUCGGAGCUAACGCGUUAAGUACUCCACCUGGGGGACUACGGCCCGCAAGGCUG
RNAcentral lists this ribosomal RNA (385 nucleotides) under uncultured organism. Its description in RNAcentral is "partial 16S ribosomal RNA". It matches the Rfam family "Bacterial small subunit ribosomal RNA", at positions 527 to 896 of the family's 1533-position model. The record is from RNAcentral.